This 24-nucleotide non-coding RNA is filed under the name Rattus norvegicus (Norway rat). The record is from RNAcentral. Lineage: Eukaryota; Metazoa; Chordata; Mammalia; Rodentia; Muridae.
UCCAUUAUGGUGCAGUUCUUCCAC